Molecule: ribosomal RNA, 235 nt
Filed under: uncultured bacterium
Lineage: Bacteria
Description: partial 16S ribosomal RNA
Rfam family: Bacterial small subunit ribosomal RNA
Source: RNAcentral
GAAUCAUGGCUCAGGACGAACGCUGGCGGCGCGCCUAACACAUGCAAGUCGAACGAGCGAGAGAGAGCUUGCUUUCUCGAGCGAGUGGCGAACGGGUGAGUAACACGUGAGGAACCUGCCUCAAAGAGGGGGACAACAGUUGGAAACGACUGCUAAUACCGCAUAAGCCCACAGGUCGGCAUCGACCAGAGGGAAAAGGAGCAAUCCGCUUUGAGAUGGCCUCGCGUCCGAUUAG